RNAcentral lists this non-coding RNA (368 nucleotides) under Vigna angularis (adzuki bean). Its description in RNAcentral is "rRNA LSU_rRNA_eukarya". It matches the Rfam family "Eukaryotic large subunit ribosomal RNA", at positions 3068 to 3399 of the family's 3401-position model. The record is from Rfam by way of RNAcentral. Lineage: Eukaryota; Viridiplantae; Streptophyta; Magnoliopsida; Fabales; Fabaceae.
CGUGUUGCUUUGAUGAUUCAUGAUAACUCGUCGGAUCGCACGGCCCUUUAUGAAAAGCCAGUGGCGCGAAGCUACCGUGCGUUGGUUUAUGACUGAACGCCUCUAAGUCAGAAUCCGGGCUAGAAGCGAUGCGUGUGCUUGUCGUUUGUUUGUCGACCAGCAGUAGGGGGCUUUGGCCCCAAGAGGCACAUGUCGUUGGUGAACCUUGUAAGGUGAAUAAGCCUUAUGAGACGCCUUGAAGCGUAAUUCCCAUCAAACGACGGGUAGAAUCCUUUGCAGACGACUUAAAUACGCGACGGGGUAUUGUAAGUGGCAGAGUGGCCUUGCUGCCACGAUCCACUGAGAUUCAGCCCUUGUCGCUUUGAUUC